RNAcentral lists this ribosomal RNA (134 nucleotides) under Periophthalmus magnuspinnatus. The record is from RNAcentral. Lineage: Eukaryota; Metazoa; Chordata; Actinopteri; Gobiiformes; Gobiidae.
AUUUGGAGCGAUAUUUGGUCAAUAUCCAAAAAUAUAAAUGAUCAAUUUGUGACCUAACCUGCUUUUCAAUGCCUCAUCUCAGGCGGGUUAGUACUUGGAUGGGAGACUGCUGGGAAUACCAGGUGCCCCAAAAG